RNAcentral lists this ribosomal RNA (374 nucleotides) under Nothopsis rugosus (Rough coffee snake). RNAcentral describes it as "partial 16S ribosomal RNA". It matches the Rfam family "Bacterial large subunit ribosomal RNA", at positions 1951 to 2537 of the family's 2925-position model. The record is from RNAcentral. Lineage: Eukaryota; Metazoa; Chordata; Lepidosauria; Squamata; Dipsadidae.
CAAAGGUAGCGUAAUCAUUUGUCUAUUAAUUGUAGACCAGUAUGAAAGGCAAAAUGAGGGUCUGUCUGUCUCUUAUAAUAAAUCAAUUAAACUGAUCUCCUAGUAAAAAAGCUAGAAUUCCAACAUAAGACCAGAAGACCCUGUGAAGCUUAAAUUAAACUAUUAAACCAUAUGAUACCUACUUUCGGUUGGGGCGACCUUGGAAAAAAAAAGAACUUCCAAAUAAAUGACCAUAAAUCACACACACAGGCCUACUAGCCUCAAAAUUUUGACCCAGCAUGACUGACAAUUGAACUAAGUUACUCCAGGGAUAACAGCGCCAUCUUCUUCAAGAGUCCAUAUCAAAAAGAAGGUUUACGACCUCGAUGUUGGAU